UACGCGAUGCUGCCGUAGCGACACAACGCACCGUCUCCUGUUUCUCUGCCGCGCGUCAGAAGCACGCGCCCCUUUUUAUCAGCUUCCAUUUGUGCUAUUCGCGCUCGUUCCCCUACCCGACCCCGGGAGCGCAUCGAUUGGCUUUGACACCGACGACGCAAAUGCUUCCGUUUACCAAUGGCUUGAGCUGCAACGCAAGGUGCGGGUCUAACACCAAAAGCAACUGGGGUUCUGAGUCUUGCUCAAGAACACUUCUACAUUUGGACAGGAAAAGCUGGGGAUCAAACCACCAACCCUGUGAUCUGUGGAUGAUCCAUUCUACCUCCAGAGCAGCCCCAUAAAUAUUAGCCUAUACCCACCUUAAGGGCUCUCUCGGUUGCUGAUGGACCUCAUCUUGCACAUACUGGCCCAGGAGUGGACACUUGGCCUGGAAACCCUAUGCAGAGAACCUUGAUGGGCAAAGGCAUCACCCCUUCCUCUGGCACUGUUCCAUAUAGUUGUAUUUGGCCCUGUUCAUCUUGCUGAUGCUGCUGACAACCAACAGGGGAAUUUAAGCUACAUCAGUGGACAAACGUUUAGUGAAAAAUCUUUGGUACGUCAUUCCAUACCAUAUACAGUUUACAUUAAAUAUUGCACAUACACAGCUUUGAAAGUCUUCUCCAUAAGCGCUUUUCACACAGCAGCAUUGAUGCAGCCACUAACCUGUCUGUGGGAUGUUUGUCCAUACGUGCUGAAUCUCCCCCCUUGUGAAAUGUGAUCGCUGGAGGCGGAUAGCACAGAUGUUUUUCAUAGAAAUAAUUCAUUUGCAGAGUGUGGGUUUCUUUUUUGUGUGGUGGAAAUGCACUCCAAGCAAAUUGGUGAGGCAGCUUCAGUGCAUUCCUGACACACGUGAAUAGCGAACGAAAUUAAACCAGUCAAGUUUGAUGCAGCUGCGGGGCUGAUUUCUAACACAUUGUAUUUAACCCUGAAAAGAUAAUGUUGGCUUUUAUCAUUCUUUUGUUUUGCAGCUUUCUCACAAUUGGCAAUAUUGUUAAUCUGUACAAUUUAAUAUUAAUGUUUCUGUGCUGGCAAAGAGCAAAACAGAAAGGGAUGUAGGGAGAUGUUUUUCAGUGAAAAUUACAGGCUACGAGGCACAACAUGGAGCUGUUUUACGUGCUGCUUGUUGAAUACUGCAAAAUAUCUAAAUUAUUUAGCAGCUGUUCACACCUGAAUUUCUGUUUGUCAGGCCUAAGGUCCGGUCAGACAGAAAUGUACUGACCACCAAAACACACUGACCCACACACAACCUCUCCGUCUUUUCUAUCCUGUGCCUCGUGGGAGGCUGUUACUGAGGUCCGCUCCAGUCACUCCUGCUGCUGUACUAUAUGAACAGUGUGCAGGUGUCUAUUUGAAUGCAUCAUCCAUCAGCACUGGACAGAGAUAAGCUUUCCAAAAGUCAAAUCAAGUUCUCAAUCCGCUCGACUGAGCCCUGUGAAAUUCACUUUCCAUACCAGCAUUCAUCUCGUCGCAUCAUCAGCAGUGAAACAGAAGACAAAGCCCACACGUUUCUU
Long non-coding RNA from Seriola aureovittata, 1550 nucleotides. RefSeq lists it as uncharacterized. The record is from RefSeq and is a predicted model, not a curated record. NCBI's taxonomy places the organism in Eukaryota, Metazoa, Chordata, Actinopteri, Carangiformes, Carangidae. The transcript has 3 exons.